UACGUAGGCAGCAAGCGUUGUUCGGAGUUACUGGGCGUAAAGCGUGCGCAGGCGGUUUGGUAAGACAGAUGUGAAAUCCCCGGGCUUAACCUGGGAACUGCAUUUGUGACUGGCAGGCUAGAGUAUGGCAGAGGGGGGGUAGAAUUCCACGUGUAGCAGUGAAAUGCGUAGAGAUGUGGAGGAAUACCGAUGGCGAAGGCAGCCCCCUGGGCCAAUACUGACGCUCAUGCACGAAAGCGUGGGGAGCAAACGA
This 253-nucleotide ribosomal RNA is filed under the name uncultured bacterium. RNAcentral's name for it is "partial 16S ribosomal RNA". It matches the Rfam family "Bacterial small subunit ribosomal RNA", at positions 524 to 775 of the family's 1533-position model. The record is from RNAcentral.